GAUGAAGAACGUAGCGAAAUGCGAUAAGUAAUGCGAAUUGCAGAAUUCCGUGAGUCAUCGAAUCUUUGAACGCACAUUGCGCCCUCUGGUAUUCCAUGGGGCAUGCCUGUUCGAGCGUCAUUUGUACCUUCAAGCUUUGCUUGGUGUUGGGUGUUUGUCUCGCCUUUGCGUGUAGACUCGCCUUAAAAUAAUUGGCAGCCGGCGUAUUGAUUUCGGAGCGCAGUACAUCUCGCGCUUUGCACUCAUAACGACAGCGUCCAAAAGUACAUUUUACACUCUUGACCUCGGAUCAGGUAGGGAUACCCGCUGAACUUAAGCAUAUCAAUAAGCGGAGGA
RNAcentral lists this unclassified non-coding RNA (336 nucleotides) under soil metagenome. RNAcentral describes it as "partial contains 5.8S ribosomal RNA, internal transcribed spacer 2, and large subunit ribosomal RNA". The stretch from base 1 to 120 matches the Rfam family "5.8S ribosomal RNA", at positions 35 to 154 of the family's 154-position model. The record is from RNAcentral.